RNAcentral lists this ribosomal RNA (391 nucleotides) under Pseudaphritis urvillii (congolli). RNAcentral describes it as "partial 12S ribosomal RNA". It matches the Rfam family "Bacterial small subunit ribosomal RNA", at positions 794 to 1384 of the family's 1533-position model. The record is from RNAcentral. Lineage: Eukaryota; Metazoa; Chordata; Actinopteri; Perciformes; Pseudaphritidae.
GCCUAGCCCUAAACAUUGAUAGAGCAAUACACCCCCUAUCCGCCCGGUUACUACGAGCGUCAGCUUAAAACCCAAAGGACUUGGCGGUGCUUUAGAUCCUACUAGAGGAGCCUGUUCUAGAACCGAUAAUCCCCGUUCAACCUCACCUUUCCUUGUUCUUUCCCGCCUAUAUACCGCCGUCGUCAGCCCACCCUCUGAAGGUCUAACAGUAGGCAAAAUUGGCACAGCCCAAAACGUCAGGUCGAGGUGUAGCGUAUGGAAAGGGAAGAAAUGGGCUACAUUCCCUAUUAUAGGGCAUAACGAAUGAUGCGCUGAAACGCACAUCUUGAAGGAGGAUUUAGCAGUAAGCAUGGAAGUAGAGUGUCCCGCUGAAACUGGCUAUGAAGCGCGC